GAUGAACGCUGGCGGCGUGCCUAAUACAUGCAAGUCGAACGUGAUUUCCAUUUCGGUGGAAUGAAAGUGGCGCACGGGUGAGUAACACGUAGCUGACCUGCCCUCGAGUGGGGGACAACGGGUGGAAACGCCCGCUAAUACCGCAUACGCUCUCGCCAGCUAGACAAGCGAGAGGAAAGCUUUAGUGCUCGAGGAGGGGGCUGCGACCCAUCAGCUAGUUGGCAGGGUAAAAGCCUACCAAGGCGACGACGGGUAGGGGGCCUGAGAGGGUGACCCCCCACACUGGGACUGAGACACGGCCCAGACUCCUACGGGUGGCUG
This 321-nucleotide ribosomal RNA is filed under the name uncultured bacterium. RNAcentral's name for it is "bacterial SSU rRNA". It matches the Rfam family "Bacterial small subunit ribosomal RNA", at positions 28 to 351 of the family's 1533-position model. The record is from RNAcentral.